Molecule: ribosomal RNA, 274 nt
Filed under: uncultured bacterium
Lineage: Bacteria
Description: partial 16S ribosomal RNA
Rfam family: Bacterial small subunit ribosomal RNA
Source: RNAcentral
CUACAGAGGGUGCAAGCGUUAUUCGGAAUUACUGGGCGUAAAGCGCGCGUAGGCGGAUGAUUAAGUCAGUUGUGAAAGCCCUGGGCUCAACCUAGGAACUGCAUCUGAUACUGGUCGUCUAGAGUUUAAGAGAGGGAAGUGGAAUUCCAGGUGUAGCAGUGAAAUGCGUAGAUAUCUGGAGGAACAUCAGUGGCGAAGGCGACUUCCUGGCUUAAAACUGACGCUGAGGUGCGAAAGCGUGGGUAGCGAACGGGAUUAGAAACCCGAGUAGUCC